This 367-nucleotide ribosomal RNA is filed under the name uncultured bacterium. RNAcentral's name for it is "bacterial SSU rRNA". It matches the Rfam family "Bacterial small subunit ribosomal RNA", at positions 29 to 426 of the family's 1533-position model. The record is from RNAcentral.
AACGAACGCUGGCGGCAGGCCUAACACAUGCAAGUCGAACGCUCCGCAAGGGGAGUGGCGCACGGGUGAGUAACACGUGGGAACCUACCUUCUGGUACGGAACAACCAAGGGAAACUCUGGCUGAUACCGUAUACGACCUCCGGGUGAAAGAUUGAUCGCCGGAAGAGGGGCCCGCGUCCGAUUAGGUAGUUGGUGAGGUAACGGCUCACCAAGCCUGCGAUCGGUAGCUGGUCUGAGAGGANGACCAGCCACACUGGGACUGAGACACGGCCCAGACUCCUACGGGAGGCAGCAGCGGGGAAUAUUGGACAAUGGGCGCAAGCCUGAUCCAGCCAUGCCGCGUGAGUGAUGAAGGCCUUCGGUUGU